CAUUUUCCUUUCUGGUUGGUUCGCGAGCGUGCAACUGUGUCCAAGUUGCGCAACGCGUGACCACGCUGCGUAAAAAAGAUGCCAGGGAAAGUGAGAGAUUUCGCGAGGAAACGAAUCGUCGGACGCGUUUCCGUAAAGGGACGACAGCAGCGAGGAAGAAAGCGGCGAAACAGUUGGAUAUUGCGGCGUUAAUUAUACGGUGGAUCGGAUCGGUUUAGUCGGGUCCGGUAGUCGAGUCGGGUGUGACAGCAACGACCUGCCGCUGGCCUAACAAUGGAAACUGGGUUAAAAAGUGAAAGGAUCCAGAGAUCGAAGGAGGAACGACCAUGGCUCCUAUUCGGCUCGCUAUUCGCCAUUCUGUAUUCGCGCGGCGAUAGAGCUAGUUGCACUGUUCCGGUCCGUAUAAUCGGCUUUCCGGGUUCAGUGGUUUCCAAAUUGGCAGAAAUUUCGCUCGGUCGCCGAGCCGUUCGUCGAUCGGCAAACGGAAACACGCAAGUCGGCGAAAGUCGUCGCGACUCUCGUUUCAUCGUUUCGCGUUCACGUGCGCGUGUUUCUCGCUCUCGAAAUUUGCUCACCUCGGCCGAUUAACUUUAUUCGCAACGAUGCAAAGCUAUCUGUGUUUCUACCCUCGAAACACCUGUUAUCGCUAAAAGACCGUUUACCGAACGUAUAAAGCUCCGUCGUUUUGUCUCAGAGCACAUUUUGCGCAGUCUAGAUGUUAUUCAGAAACCUUGUUAAACCUCCUAUUUACGAAAGAUGCCGUUCCGACGCCUGUAGGUAGCUGUUAUCGCGUAACCGGGCCAAGUACGAUAGAUUUACAUAGUCGUUAGCGUUUAAGAAUAGUCAGCCUGGUGAUCUAACUUGCAGCGUAAACUACCGAAAGGAUACAAAAUCGCGAUACAGAAAUUGGAAAAUACGUUGGACGUAUCGAGCGCACGUUGGAAGCGCCAUACGUAGGGAUCAUCGGUAAUGGGUAGAUCGGUCGCGGAUCGAAAACUAAAACAACGGCAGCUAGAAUCGAUUAGAAGGAGUUGCAUGGAACGAGCAAAGGCAUACACGCUGACACAUCCGGGUCUUGCCGCGCAUAAUCUAGCCAUUCUGUCGUGGCAGUCUGUUCUUGUAUCGGUCGGGAUACACGAGCCGAAAUUAUUUCAUCCACCCCCGCGGCUUUAUGGAGAUGUCAGCGACGGAUCGGAGGAGUGCGAGCGACAGGAACGUCACCAACGACCAGGCAAAUGGUCUGUAAAAACGUGACGUCAUGUUCUCUUUUAGAUAGACACCUGCCUCGAAAUAGAAAAGAUACAGGCAUUAUGAUUUUCAACCAGGGAGGCUACUUAUUUUGCGCUCGAUUUGACACGAGUCGUACGAGCGUUCUACGUAACGCUCGAAAACCUUGAUUUCUCGGCACUCGAGGUAUUUUUAAAACGAAAGUUGUUUCAAGUGUCAAGCGUAACCGGGGCAUCCUUAGACGUUGAUAAUUAAAUAGCAUUAGGGAUCGUCGAUGCACCGACCCCUGAUCGA
RNAcentral lists this unclassified non-coding RNA (1521 nucleotides) under Bombus terrestris (buff-tailed bumblebee). RNAcentral describes it as "misc RNA ENSBTSG00005031541.1". The record is from RNAcentral. Lineage: Eukaryota; Metazoa; Arthropoda; Insecta; Hymenoptera; Apidae.